GUGCUCGCUUCGGCAGCACAUACUCAAACUGGAACAAUACAGAGAAGAGUAGGAUGGCCCCUGUGCAGGGAUGACCCGCAAAUUCAGGAAGUGUUCCAUAUUUUU
Molecule: small nuclear RNA, 105 nt
Organism: Echinops telfairi (small Madagascar hedgehog)
Lineage: Eukaryota; Metazoa; Chordata; Mammalia; Afrosoricida; Tenrecidae
Source: Ensembl